UACGUAGGGUGCAAGCGUUGUUCGGAAUUACUGGGCGUAAAGGGCUCGUAGGCGGCCAACUAAGUCAGACGUGAAAUCCCCAGGCUCAACCUGGGAACUGCGUCUGAUACUGGAUGGCUUGAAUCCGGGAGAGGGAUGCAGAAUUCCAGGUGUAGCGGUGAAAUGCGUAGAUAUCUGGAGGAAUACCGGUGGCGAAGGCGGCAUCCUGGACCGGCAUUGACGCUGAGGAGCGAAAGCCAGGGGAGCAAACGGG
Molecule: ribosomal RNA, 253 nt
Filed under: uncultured bacterium
Lineage: Bacteria
Description: partial 16S ribosomal RNA
Rfam family: Bacterial small subunit ribosomal RNA
Source: RNAcentral